CCGACAACGAAGUCCCGGUCUGAUAUGACACUCACAUUCGUCUCCACAGGAGAGCUGAUGCUAAACGGAUUGAUAUAGCAGAAAGGGUUGAAAUGGCGACUGGCGAGAGUCGCUGUUUCGGAGCUUGUAUUUCAAUCUUCGCGGCAAACUGGUAUGAAGAAGGUGGAAUGGCUGGCCAGAUCAGACUACGAGAUCGAAUUCCCCGCCAGCUAUUUACCCACUGCGAUAAGGAAAUCCACGUCAACAUCAGCGAUCUCAAUCGGGCAUACGCGCCUAUGAAAUCAUAAGCAGCAAAGAACCAGCAAAAAUUACCCUGGAAAUGUGCGAAUGUUAGCAGGAAUCUCGGGACAAUACGCGAAACGAUUACCAGU
Long non-coding RNA from Varroa destructor (honeybee mite), 371 nucleotides. RefSeq lists it as uncharacterized. NCBI's taxonomy places the organism in Eukaryota, Metazoa, Arthropoda, Arachnida, Mesostigmata, Varroidae. The record is from RefSeq and is a predicted model, not a curated record.